RNAcentral lists this long non-coding RNA (258 nucleotides) under Bos taurus (domestic cattle). RNAcentral's name for it is "long non-coding RNA NONBTAT000375". The record is from RNAcentral. Lineage: Eukaryota; Metazoa; Chordata; Mammalia; Artiodactyla; Bovidae.
GUUCUUUGCUCAUUUUUGUAUUGUAAAGUUAAUCCUUCUGUUUUGUAAGAAUUAGAACCCAUUGUCAAAUGCUACAUGUAUUUCCCCCCUUUAUCAUAUUUCUGUAUCAGAUCCUUGUCACUUCUGUUCCAAAAUUUAGUUUUGAGAUAUAAUCUAGGCAACUUGAGAUACAGUUAAGGCAGUAUCUUCUAAAAGGUGGUUAGCUUCUGUAGUAGUUUUUAUGUUGUCUAUAAAUCUCAAAGUGUUAAGAAAGUGUUU